RNAcentral lists this ribosomal RNA (552 nucleotides) under Triticum aestivum (bread wheat). RNAcentral describes it as "partial small subunit ribosomal RNA". The record is from RNAcentral. Lineage: Eukaryota; Viridiplantae; Streptophyta; Magnoliopsida; Poales; Poaceae.
AUGGCCGUCUCCACCUCCACCACCACGCUCCCCCUCCUCUUCCUCCACCGCUCCACCGCAAGCCCGAACCCCACCGCGCUCUCCUUCGCCUCCCCCCUCCGCGCGUCCCCGCUGCGCUCCCGCGCCUCCGCCGCCCCGCCAGCCGAGACCCUCGCCGACGACCUACCCUCCGACACGCCCCCGGUUGGUGAGGGGUCGGGAAUUCCGAUGCCGUCGUCGAUUGGGGAGGAUGGGGAGGAGCUGGCACCUAAGCAGAAGAUCAGAAUCAAGCUGAGGUCUUACUGGGUGCCAUUGAUCGAGGACUCCUGCAAGCAGAUCAUCGAAGCUGCAAAGACAACUAAUGCCAAGACCAUGGGUCCUGUUCCUCUGCCAACCAAGAAGAGAAUAUACUGUGUGCUCAACUCUCCCCAUGUGCACAAAGAUUCAAGGUUCCACUUCGAGAUCCGGACACACCAGCGGUUGAUUGAUAUCAUGUACCCGACUGCCCAGACAAUCGAUUCAUUGAUGCAGCUCCAGCUCCCCGCCGGGGUGGAUGUUGAGGUUAAGCUAUGA